Molecule: transfer-messenger RNA, 358 nt
Filed under: Campylobacter sp.
Lineage: Bacteria; Pseudomonadati; Campylobacterota; Epsilonproteobacteria; Campylobacterales; Campylobacteraceae
Rfam family: transfer-messenger RNA
About the family: Bacterial tmRNA, also known as 10Sa RNA or SsrA, is named for its dual tRNA and mRNA-like properties. Its role is to liberate the mRNA from a stalled ribosome. To accomplish this part of the tmRNA is used as a reading frame that ends in a translation stop signal.
Source: RNAcentral
GGGAGCGACUUGGCUUCGACAGGAGCAGGGCGCACAUGGUGGCACGUCGCUUUGAGCAAAGCGUAAAAAGCUCAAAUUAAAAUUAAACGCAAAUAACGUUAAAUUCGCUCCUGCUUACGCUAAAGCUGCGUAAGUUCAGUUGAGCCUUGCUUGUUUUGAUACUAUCUAAAAACACCGGCGAGUAACCCCAGAUAGAGUAGAUUUGCGGUCUGACUAGCCUCAAAUCGAAAUUUUAGUCUUAGUCCGGCUUUUGGUUUUGGAAAGUGAGCCUUGACGGAUGAAAUUUUCACUUUUGCUAAGCGUGUAGAGGCUGUGGGUGCUUUGUUUUUGGACAGGGGUUCGAUCCCCCUCGCUUCCA